This 374-nucleotide ribosomal RNA is filed under the name uncultured organism. RNAcentral describes it as "partial 16S ribosomal RNA". It matches the Rfam family "Bacterial small subunit ribosomal RNA", at positions 527 to 896 of the family's 1533-position model. The record is from RNAcentral.
GAACCGUCCAAACGUUAUUCGGAAUUACUGGGCUUAAAGGGUGCGUAGGCGGUGUCGUAAGUUGGGGUGUGAAAUCCCUCGGGCUCAACCUAGGAACUGCGCCCAAUACUGCGGCACUCGAGGGAGACAGAGGUAAGCGGAACUGAUGGUGGAGCGGUGAAAUGCGUUGAUAUCAUCAGGAACACCAGUGGCGAAAGCGGCUUACUGGGUCUCUUCUGACGCUGAGGCACGAAAGCCAGGGGAGCGAACGGGAUUAGAUACCCCGGUAGUCCUGGCUGUAAACGAUGAGCACUUGGUCGGGGGCCCCCCCAUAGGCUUCCGGCCGUAGCGAAAGUGUUAAGUGCUCCGCCUGGGGAGUAUGGUCGCAAAGGCUG